CUUGUGAUUAUUCAAGAUGUAUUGUAUUAACACUCUGUUCUUUUUAUUUUCCUUUUCUUCCUGGCACUGUAUUGUUAGAUUAUCCAGAAGAUCCAGUGUGAUCGAAUACUGAGCAGCUGAGCAGAACCCUAUGGAGUAUUCUCCUUUCACUGGGCAGAUAUAGUGGAAGGGGGUCACAUGAUAGAGGAACUUACCGUUUGGGUCACACAUCAAGG
Non-coding RNA from Pelobates cultripes (western spadefoot toad), 215 nucleotides. Lineage: Eukaryota; Metazoa; Chordata; Amphibia; Anura; Pelobatidae. The record is from the annotation of a GenBank genome assembly.